This 121-nucleotide ribosomal RNA is filed under the name Prolemur simus (greater bamboo lemur). Lineage: Eukaryota; Metazoa; Chordata; Mammalia; Primates; Lemuridae. The record is from RNAcentral.
GUCUAUGGCCAUAGCACCCUGAACAUGCCUCAUCUCAUCUGAUCUCAGAAGCUAAGCAGGGUCAGGCUAGGUUAGUACUUGGAGGGGAGACAUUAAUUAAUUUUGAAUAACUCAAUGGAUU